RNAcentral lists this transfer RNA (96 nucleotides) under Xylaria sp. CBS 124048. RNAcentral describes it as "tRNA-Ile". It matches the Rfam family "tRNA". From Rfam's summary of the family: Transfer RNA (tRNA) molecules are approximately 80 nucleotides in length. Lineage: Eukaryota; Fungi; Ascomycota; Sordariomycetes; Xylariales; Xylariaceae. The record is from RNAcentral.
GGUCCCAUAGCUCAGUUGGUUAGAGCGUCGUACUAAUAUUAUAGCAAUAUAACAUUGGUAAUGCGAAGGCCGUGAGUUCAAGCCUCACUGGGACCA